CAAUAGCGUAUAUUAAAGUUGUUGCAGUUAAAAAGCUCGUAGUUGGGUUUCUGGUGGGAGCGAUCGGUCUGGCGCUUAGCGCGAGUACUUGCAUCGUCUCCGGCCAUCCUUGGGGAGAGUCUGUCUGGCAUUAGGUUGUCGGGCAGAGGAUCCUCAUCGUUUACUGUGAAAAAAUUAGAGUGUUCAAAGCAGGCUUAUGCCGUUGAAUAUAUUAGCAUGGAAUAAUAAGAUAGGACUUUGGUACUAUUUUGUUGGUUUGCGCACCAAAGUAAUGAUUAAUAGGGACAGUUGGGGGUAUUCGUAUUCCGUUGUCAGAGGUGAAAUUCUUGGAUUUACGGAAGACGAACUACUGCGAAAGCAUUUACCAAGGAUGUUUUCAUUAA
RNAcentral lists this ribosomal RNA (383 nucleotides) under uncultured eukaryote. Its description in RNAcentral is "partial 18S ribosomal RNA". It matches the Rfam family "Eukaryotic small subunit ribosomal RNA", at positions 592 to 976 of the family's 1831-position model. The record is from RNAcentral.